UAGUAAAUGCUGUGAUCACCAUACAGCCUUUCAUUGUCCUUCUCAAUUGUCGAAACACAGUUGUGCAGAAUCUGGUGUUGAUCCCGGUCCACAUCGAACCAAGUAACGCAGAGGCGGAGCUGAAUGCUCUUCAUGAUGAGGUUAAAGAUGUGAGGGAAAUGUGGAACAAGGAUGCACUUGAGAGUGAGUCAGAGGCAGAAUACAGGGA
Long non-coding RNA from Trematomus bernacchii (emerald rockcod), 208 nucleotides. RefSeq lists it as uncharacterized. NCBI's taxonomy places the organism in Eukaryota, Metazoa, Chordata, Actinopteri, Perciformes, Nototheniidae. The record is from RefSeq and is a predicted model, not a curated record. The transcript is spliced from 3 exons.